RNAcentral lists this transfer RNA (68 nucleotides) under Marmota monax (woodchuck). RNAcentral describes it as "tRNA.Thr". Lineage: Eukaryota; Metazoa; Chordata; Mammalia; Rodentia; Sciuridae. The record is from RNAcentral.
GGUUUGUGGCUCAGUGGUAGAGUGCUUGCCUAGUAUGUGCCAGGCGCUGGGAUCGAUCCUCAGUACCA